ACCUUGGCCAAGGAUUCAUGGGUUGUCAUUUAUCGAAUCACAUAUGACAUUUCUCUUCUUUUACUAGAAGUGGUAGAUUCUUUAUUGAUUAUUCAUUAUCUUCAUAUAUAACUUAUUACACCCAAGCAUACCCUUUGAUAUACUCUAAGAGUCUUAAGGAAUAAGUCAAAGUGUAAUUCAUUAUAUAUAAGAUACUAUGAUGAUCUCAAGUCUAAUGAUCAUUUGUACUACUAUCAUUACAGAAAUUCAUAUUGACAGGCAAGUAAAACUCCAUUAGGUAUUAUUUAGCGAGUCACGUUCAGUGAACUUAUUCUCUAAUAAGCACCUACAUACUUGCUUUAGUGUAUCCACACAAAUGAUCA
RNAcentral lists this long non-coding RNA (362 nucleotides) under Panax ginseng (ginseng). RNAcentral's name for it is "long non-coding RNA (PGIN_LNC007095)". The record is from RNAcentral. Lineage: Eukaryota; Viridiplantae; Streptophyta; Magnoliopsida; Apiales; Araliaceae.